GGGAAACUAAAGGUACACAAGAUACAAAUGUUCUUCCUUUCAAACAAAUGAAAACUGAAGCACGAAACUAAAGCAAACUCGCAAAGGUGCACACUAGCAUUGACUUGUAACAUGAUGUCUCCGGCUAACCUAGGAUCUAAAAGAAAAGAGGUAACCAAAAAGUUGCAUAUAUGACAAGGAAUUAAAAAUAUUGCAUGACAGGGCCUGGACCAUUUUGAAGGGAAAUGCACAGCUGCUCAUUGAUCACUCAAUAAUUUUCUGAAAGACGCCAGCUCCAACAGUCUUUCCUCCUUCCCUGAUGGCAAAUCUCAUCCCUUGCUCACAAGCCACAGGCAUAAUGAGCUCAACAACCAAGUUCACACAAUCACCAGGCAUCACCAUCUUAGAUUUCUCGUUUGUCAGUGGUAAUGGAAGUAACCUUCCCGGUCACAUCAGUUGUCCUCAUAUAAAACUGAGGCCUGUACCCCGAAAAGAACGGGGAAUGCCUGCCACCCUCCUCCUUUUUCAGGACAUACACAAGAGCUUCAAACUUGGUGUGAGGAGUGAUCCAGGUUUUGCCAACACCAUUCCUCUCUGAAUAUCAACCUUCUGAAUACCUCUCAACAAUAACCCCACAUUAUCUCCAGCCAUUGCUUCAUCCAAAAUCUUCUGAAACAUAUCAACCCCAGUCACGGUGGUCGUCCUAGUAUCCCUUAAUCCUACAAUAUCAACGGUAUCUCCAAUCCUAACAGUCCCUCUCUCUACCCUCCCUGUAGCCACUGUACCUCUACCAGCAAUCGAAAACACAUCUUCAAUAGCCAUCAAGAAAGGCAACUCAGUUUGUCUUACUGGAAUAGGAAUAUAACUAUCAACAUUAUCCAUUAACUCAUAAAUCUUAUCAACCCAUUGAUUUUCACCUCUCUUAAUACUAGGAUUCGCCAUUAACGCCUCUAAAGCCAAAAGAGCAGAACCCGAAACAAUCAGAAUGACACGUGGUGUGGCAUAACUCAGGGAUGAAAUACACGUGGUGUGGCAAGGAAACAGAAGAAAAAUGUGGACAUAACAAGAUUUACCAUCACGAAUGACAUCAAACAGAAACUAUUUGAAGAAAUGUUUCUCUAUAAUUCGUGAGUCUCAAUAACAGUUGUGCAUGUUUGACAAAACAAAAUGACAGCAAAGCUGCAGUUGAUAGGGGCCCAUAAGAAAAAGCUCACUUCAACGGCUCGACUUACACCAAUUAAAACAGUAAAUAUCAAACUAUAUUUAACAAAUUACAUGCAAUGAUUUGAUAUUCACCAGAUCUUACAAAUCCAUUAUUUGUCCAGAAAGACAUAACUAAAACUGUCAAAUCCAGAGGCAUCAAACACAGUCAUUCAUUGACUCAGCCUAGUAAAACCUCCAUGCUAGUUACAAUAUCCAGCGACAACAUCUUUGAAGCACAGUUAAAGCAACAAACAUGAAAAUGACAGCCAAUGUGAGCAUCUUUCAAGCAUUAUUACAGGAACCUAUGUAGCUCAGACUCUUCAAAAAUGUCAUCGAGAGUCCGAGCAACUUAGACGGGAACAAGCACGAAGGACGACACAACAGACAAUCUCAUUCUGAGGUUAAUAAGCAAUAGGUAAAUGACAUUAUUUUGUCGGGUAACUUCUCAGUAGGUCAUCUAAAUACAUAAGACCAAUGUUGACAAGUUCUGACAUAGAACCAACUGGCCAUUCACAGAUAGUUCUACUCAGGGAUUAUAGACAACAACUGAGAAUAACAAUUAAGCAUCACUAAACAAAUUCUAAUGAGAUUCUACUACAUACUACUCACACGGUGAUCUCAUGUCCAUCAAUUCUAGUUUCUAAACAGCAUAUUUGGUUUAAAAUAAAAUAUCUCGGUUUUCUUUUUCUUUUCUUUUCUUUUUUGGGUGUUGCCUAACAGCAUCAAUUCGUCAAAACAAACAUCAAACGCACCUAUAACUUCAUUGGCAUGUUAAAGUUGAGUUUCAAACAAAAGUAUGAUUUUUUCCCGAGGGAAACUAAAGGUACACAAGAUACAAAUGUUCUUCUCCCUUUCAAACAAAUGAAAACUGAAGCACGAAACUAAAGCAAUCUCACAAAGGUGCACACUAGCAUUGACUUAUAACAAGAUUUCUCCAACUAACCUAGGAUCUAAAAGAAAAAAGGUAACCAGAAAGUUGCAUAUAUGACAAGGAAUUAAAAAUAUUGCAUGACAGGGGCCGGACCACUUUGAAGGGAAAUGCACAGCUGCUCAUUGAUCACUCAAUAAUUUUCUGAAUGACGCCAGCUCCAACAGUCUUUCCUCCUUCCCUGA
RNAcentral lists this long non-coding RNA (2295 nucleotides) under Capsicum annuum. RNAcentral describes it as "long non-coding RNA (CANN_LNC004152)". The record is from RNAcentral. Lineage: Eukaryota; Viridiplantae; Streptophyta; Magnoliopsida; Solanales; Solanaceae.